Molecule: long non-coding RNA, 891 nt
Filed under: Zea mays
Lineage: Eukaryota; Viridiplantae; Streptophyta; Magnoliopsida; Poales; Poaceae
Description: long non-coding RNA (ZMAY_LNC005880)
Source: RNAcentral
GCUAAAAAAAAACUUAGGAUGCACUCUGGGCAGAAUCGUGUGGCACGCGAAGGUAAAUGCAGACGAACAUUGGAAUCUUGAAAUGACCACUCAUCUGAAAUUUGCAGAGUCGCUCGAGAUCUCCGCAUCAAUUUGGGACCCCAUAAUAAGGGGGAAAGAUUAAAAAAAACGGGGGAACGAAAUCAUCAGCAACUCACGGGACACACGGGGAGUCACAGAUCUCAUCAACUGUUACAAUGGGCAUACGCAGCACCAUAUAUAUUUUUGUUGUUGUUCAUCUUCUUGGCUAGAGACUCAACGAAUCAAGCAAGAGCACAUAAUAGAUCAAGAAACGGAUCGUAUCACCACGCAUUUCUUGGGCGGAGGGAGGCGCGGUUCGGUCAGGUCACAUCUUGGCGACGGAGGCGGAGGAGCCGGACCGGUCGUAGUAGUACUCAGGGAUCGGGCGGGAGAAGGAGCGGCGGGCCUCCUCGAGGUCCUCCUCCUCCUCGUCGCCGUCGUCCUCCGCGGUGUGGAGGUGGAUGCAGGAGCAGCGCUCGAGGGACGCGAAGAAGGCCGACGCCACGCCGGUCGCCACCCACAUCGCGUAGCUCUCCAUGUUCCCGUACGACAGGAACCCGCCGUUGGGGUUGAUGCCGUUCAUGGCUGCCUGCCCGUGCUUCCCCUGCCUCCCGCCGAACGGCCCGGCUUGGUCCGAGGAAGAGAGCGGAGACGAGGCGAGGCGGUGGUGGGUUAAUCGGUCGGUUGGUUUGCCUUGGGUUUCAGACCUCUCGCGUGGGUGGGAUGUCCUCGUCGUCGUGGUCGCUGUGGUUGCGAUCUCUUUUUUUUAGACAAAAGACAGCGAUGGUCGUCCCGAAAUUAGGAGUAGCUCUCACGAUAAACGGAUCGGAC